This is a long non-coding RNA of Vespula vulgaris, 7037 nucleotides long. RefSeq lists it as uncharacterized. The record is from RefSeq and is a predicted model, not a curated record. Lineage: Eukaryota; Metazoa; Arthropoda; Insecta; Hymenoptera; Vespidae. The transcript is spliced from 7 exons.
UGAUAUUAAUAAUUUAAAUGUUAAGUCGAGGAAAAAGGUUUUUUCGUAUUUUAAUAAAAAAAUAAAUCACUUCACUUGUUUUGAAAGUAGAAAUUAUAAUUAAUAAUUUAACUGGGUGACACAGCUGAUCUUCUUUCCUUUCGUCCAAGAUGUUUCCCAUAUGUUAUAGUUUGAUAACACUGAUUUCAAUAAGUUAAAACUGACUUAAUGGUUGAACUUCCACUGUAUUGCUGUCAUUUGUAUAAAUGUCUUUUUAACGUCUUUGAAAGUCUAACUUUUGUAUCUCUGUCUAGUCACUGAUGAUAAUUUGAUGAAACUUAUUUCUGCCUCUUCAAUUGCCACGCCUAGAUAGUCAAAGCCUUCUUGAUAAAUAAUUUUUUGAUACCUUCUCUACGUUUAUAAUAUUCUCUUUACCAGAUAAUUAAUUCUGGAUAUUUCCUUUCUACAGCUUGGCUUAAUGUAUCAAUUUUUUGACAGUGCAUAGUAGGAUCAAAAGCUUGGCUAGACAGAAACAGUUAAUCGUGACCAAAUUCUUUGUUCCCCAUAUCAACAUAUAUAGCAUCACUUCCUUAAAUAUCAUUCCUGAGUUUGUGAAUACUUCCAAUGUAGGUCUUUCAUCAACCAUGAUUUUCAAUAUCUUAUUGUCGGGAAUUGACUCUUCCAAAAGUAUCUUGUAUCAGUCCGUGUCUGACAAUCCAAUGGCAGAAAUUCGAUCCGUUAAAACUUUCAUUAUUUGAUUAUUCGGCCCAUAAACAUCGGGUUUUUUCUGUACCCAGCCUUUUUUAAAUGACUUAAAAUGCUUUGUGAUCGGUGAUUAGAUCCAUAAUGGCAUCGUGUGCAGCACUUGCACCAGAACUUCCACACGAAAACGCUUGAACAACCAUGUACGAGAUGUCUUGAUAUUACACCGAUCCCUAGCAAUUUAAAUAUUGGCAAUAACUUCAGUCACAUCCGUACUGUUCUUGUAACGAAAUUCAAAAUCUUGUAUCGAAUUUCUUCUUCCUUCAGGCCCAUUACUUUUAAACCGUACUUUUAAACGCUUUAACCUUCCUAAGAAGAUCUUCAGCGAAACGUCACCCUCCGUGUUCGCGACUCGACUGACUGCCAGCGAUAAAAUCAAUAGGAUGCGAAAAACGAAAAAAUUUUUUUCCUGUAUUAAUUUCAUAUCCAUAAAUAAUUUUAUCGUUAAAAUAGAAAAAAACUAAGUUUUAAUUAAUUUUCAUAAAUUAUAAAGCUAAAAAAUUAUUAUAAUUGCUUUGUACCGAUUUAUUAAAUUUUAUUCGUUAAUUCCUGUGACGUGUAUACAUAUAUAUAUAUAUAUAUCUUGCCGCACACACAUAUAUAUAUAUAUAUAUGAAAUCUUAUAUCAGAAAUUAGUAGUAGAUUAAAUAUUUAAAUAUAAGUUACCUGCCGGAAAAUGGUACAAGAGGAGGCAAACAAGCAGAUCUUCUUUCACAUCAAAGAAAAAUCAAUAUCUCAAAAAUGGCCAGUCUUUUCUCCAAAGAACAAAGUAUUGGAAUAUUAAUUCGAAACCGCCAUCCGGAAAAUUAAUCCAACACCACCGAUUUAAGAUCAUAAGCCGCCAAGCAGCUUGGCAUGAUAUAUUACACUGGACAGACCCUGGAGGAGAUAGGAAAGAAAUUGGACAAAUCAAAAAACUUCUCCCCGUCGAAUUCGGAAUACUUUUAAACAAAACCAGUUGAUCCAAAUGGAAAGAAGAACGAUGGUAGAAAGACGAUGAGAGACGAAGUUCAACCAUUCAACGGCAUUACUUUCAGUCUAAAUUUGGUAAUAUUCUUCGAUCGAAUGGCUAUCUGUUUAAACAGCUACAUAUCACCGUAUAAUUUUCCUGACCAUGGAAGAUAUUAAAGAAGAAAUUCGAUAUACGUCAAAAUUUUACUACAAAAAGGGAUCCAAAAAUUUGGCUCAAUCAGCUACAAUUGGUAAUAUCUUACCUAUAUCGGUAAUACUUAUUGGCCUAUACGGUAUCACUGAUCAUCGCACGCAUCUAAAAUCAAGCGUUUUCAACUGUGGAAGUUAUGGUGCAAGUGCAGCACGUGAUGCCGUUAUGGAUCUGAUCAACGAUCACAAAGCAUUUUUAAGUCAUUUAGAAAAGGCUGGGUACAAAAACAACCUGAUGUUUGUGAGCCGAAUAAUCAAAUAAUGGAAGUUUUAAUAGAUCGAAUUUCUGCGAUUGUAUUGCCAGACACGGCCUGAUACCAGAUACUUCUGGUAGAUUCAAUGCCCGACAAUAAUAUAUUGGAGAUCAUGGUUGAUAAAAGAUUUACAUUGGAAGCAUUCGCAAAUUCAGGAAUGAUAUUUGAAGAAGUGAUGCUAUGUAUGUUGAUAUAGGGAACAAAGAAUUUGUUCACUAUUAACUGUUUCGAUCUAUCCAACCUUUUGAUCCUAUUAUACACUGUCAAAAAAUUGAUAUAUUAUGCCAAGCUGUAGAAAAGAAAUGUCCAGAAUUAAUUGUCUGGUAAAGAGAAUAUUAUAAACGUAGAGAAGGUCACAUACAGACCUUCUUAAUUAAGAAUGGUAAUUGAAGAGUUGGAAAUAAGACUCGUCAAAUUCUUAUCAAUGAUUGAACAUUGAGAUCUAAAGGUUUGACAGAGAUCUUAAGGGUAGAGUUUCAAAGACGUUGGAAAUAUAUUUAUAAAAAUGGUGGCAAUAAGGUGGAACUACAAUUGUUGGGAAAUUCAGAUGGAGGUUUCAUACUAUGUUCUGGAAAAGACUAAUCCAACUGCAGAGACAGCAGGAAAUAAGUACCGAUAUUAAAUAUGUCUCAAAUCCGGCUGGUUCUUAGAAGAUCAAAACACUACUUCGCUUCCACGUUAUCUAAGAGAUUUCUUUUUUGCGCUACUUUGUUAUAGUUUAGUCUGUAGGAGUUCGCUUUAUAUUGUAGGUAUUAGUUUUAAGCAAACGUUUAGUAGUAUUAUUUUUCUUUCGCAAAUUGACUAGUGUACUAGUUCUUAUAUCUACCAAUUAUACAUAUUUACUAUUUCCUAUGCAUGUAAAAGAAAUCUAAUCUGUAUAACAAUGUAUGUAACUUAACUUGCUUCACUUAGAAAAGAAUAUAUGCAUUAGAAAGCGAAAAUUUGGGUUAGUAGUUCAUUAACCUACUUCUCCAGCUAAUUUUUAUGUAUGCGAAUACCAACACAGGCUUAUACACCGACGUGAUAGUUCACAUUUUGUCCACAUCCGCAGUCGCUGAAAUCGUUACGAAAAAAAGAUGGUAGACUCAGUGAAAACUAGUAUCGGUAGCGUGUGGUUAAAGUCUAAUUUUUUAGUUUUAUCAUUUAUUUUUAAGAACAUUGUAAAAGUAUUUUAAGAGUAAUUUCUGAUGAUUAUAUUGGUAUAUUUAUUUAAAAUUUAUUAUCAAAUUUUUCAAACGAGUGACGAUUCGAAUCUUGCGACCGAGUGAAAACACAGAAGAAAUUCAAUACAUUUUGAAAUUUUACUACGACAAAAAAAAAAAGAAAGAAUAUGUCUAAAGACAAUAGAAAGUCAACUAAAAAGAUUUGUGAUGUUUAUUGAACGAUGCACAGUACCGGUGGAAUCAAUGGAGUAUGCAGCACGCAGCAGCUUUAAGCAUUAUCAAUAUGAAAAUGCGUAAAACCAAAUUACAAAAGCUAGCGCUGCCUGGGAAAAUAGGUCGUUACUUGAUAUAUACGGACAGCAUAAUAAGUGAGAUCGUUUUGCAGCAGAAAACCGAGAAAUAGGAGUACCUUCCGACGAAGUUCAACGUGCAUCCCAAUUACGUAUAUGAGAAUUUAAGAUUUGAUUUAUCGAUUUGUGCCAAGUAGGAACUAAUCUCUCUGAAAUUUGUAAUUUGCUUUGUGCAUGCUUCCUCUCUAACUAUUCAAAUGAAUUAGGCAAUUAAGACCCAAUUAAGAUCUUACGGCAUUUGAGAUGCCAGUUCAAUUAGUUCUAAGGUCUUCCUCUUUCCUGCCAUUAGAUUAGUCUUCAUUGUCUAAUAUGCUAUAAUUCCCUUUGUAAAAUUCGUUAUAGAAUACGUAUCUGGGAAGUUGUACUUAUACGCUUAACAGUCGAGCAUAUUGCAUGAAGCUUUCGCUCGUAAUGUUACCUUAUUUUCCUUUUUUCUUUUUUUUCUUUUUUUUCUCUUUUUUCUUUUUUUCGUAUUAUUUAAAUUAACAAACAUCUCUCUUUCUUCAUUACGCAGAACCGAGAGAUAUGAAAUCAGAGAAAAUUUUUCGUUAUAUUUCUUUUUGCCUUCGUUACUACGCAGUACCGAAAGAUGUAGAAUCAGAUAACAUUUUUCGUCGUUUUUCUUUCUUUUUUAAAUUUUUUACGUUCGUUAUUACGCAGUACCGAAAGGCAUGGAAUUGGAGAACAUUUUUCGGUAUUUUUUUUUCUUUUUUCCCAUUAAUCCAUUUUUCUCUCUUUUGCGUAUUUCAUUUCGAUACGCUUUACGCAAGUCAAUCAGCGUUUCCUAUUACAUGGUCGAAAGGUCAAAAAAGACUGAAAGGGUAAAGCAUGGAUCGCGAGAAAUGAAUUUCUCGUUUAAUCCCUUUGAAUUCGAGAUAUUACUUUCUUUUUCUCUAAACACGAAAUAAUCCACGUUGCAUAAAUGAAUAUCGUCGCAAACAAAUCUGCACCAUUGUUUACCGUUUGCUCUCUGCCAAGGAAUAAUAAUUCAAAAAAACAUCGAUAUUCUGUUGAUCCGUUCUCGUAAUAAAAAUAUCACUUCAUCGGCGGUGAUACGUGCCUUUGAUCCAGCUCGAUGUAAACGAAAGAAAAAAGGGAGAAUAUGUAUUUACCUUAUGCGGCGGAGAGAACAUAUUGAGUUACUAUAGUAACGGUCCGCAGUAUUUUAUUAUCGCGGAUUAUCGACGAUUUCCACAAAUUUUCCACGAGCUUUUCGGGAUAUUAUAAAUGAACUUGCUGGAUUGAAAGACAAAGCAUUUUCUCUCCUUUUUAAAGCUCUCGUUUUUAAACGACUGUAAAGCGACUCGUUUCCGUGUUCAUUACGUGAUCGAGAUUAAAUUGGAAGAAAUAGAAGAUAAAAUUUGUAAUUGGAAUAACUACGUAUUCUGAUAUGAUAUAGUAUACUCCGAUACAACGAAUCUAAUCUGGUGUAGUUUUACCAAGGUUUAUUGGUAGAACGAGAGGACUGAAUUCUUUCUUCAGAGGAUCAAAAGGGAGCUUUAGAUAUAGGAUAUAAUCGAUUGGGGUCAGAUAGAUUGUCAAAGGGCCGUCCGAUGUCGCGUGUAGAAUUUGAAUAAAGGUAGAAUGUUUCCUCUAACAAAGGAAUAUUUCUUUGUACAAAAGAAUAUUUCAUCGAGGAAUCUUCUUCGUGUCAGUCUACUUUUUCCACCCUCGAAAGUUCGCCUACUCGAGAGGAGAAAAUAAAGAUCAAUCAUAAUGCUGAGAGUUUUCUUGGAUAUCGGACUAAUGAUAAUUUGAACGAGUUUGAAAGAAGUAGAAGAAGAAGAAGAAGUCGAAGACGAGGGUAAGGAUUGGAAGUCCAUGAGGAUCAAUCUACGUUAGCUCUUUUCUCGGCAACAAUGAUUCCAGAGAUAAAUUUAAUUCAAGUUAAAAGGAUAUCGAUGUCUGAGAUGCGUCUUGAUUUAGCGAAUCUCGAUCUGAAUUCGAAAAUAGCCAAGUCGAUGUGUGCUAAAUACGAAAUUGGAUGAUCGAGAACAACAGUAAUACUAACAUGGAAGUAACAGGAAAUAAUAUCACGAAUAGGGACGAUUACGAGCGAGGAGGCUUUAAUCAUGGGCUUAGGAAUAACUUCGGAAAAAAUCAAAACGGGACUAAGGGAGAUUUAACUUCCGAAGUGAUUAAACCUGCAGGAACGGUCAAGGAUUUAUCGUUUGUGAAGAUAAUGAUAUUGGCUCAUACGCUUUAGAAGUCCGAUAUGACCCAAUACGUUUGAACACAUAAAACGAAAUAUAUUAAUUUCACAUUUACAUCUCUGCGUCAUCGUCGUUUCAUCAAUUUCAACUAAUUGCUAUUAAAUAAUUCGACCUAAUUAAAAGUAGAAGAAAUUUUGAAUUCGAUGUUUCCAAUUCUGUAUAAUAUUCACGAGAUGAAUUUUAAAUAAUACUGCGUAGUAUCCAACAUACGUUAUUCAAAAAUGUACGAAUAUCGAUAUUAAUUUGCAACCGUGCGCGCAUUCCUUUGUUAAUACCCUUCGAUAGGGAUUUAAUGAAAAUGUAUGCUUCCUCGUACGUAUCGUUGAUUAUCCUGGUAUUAAACGUUUUAUUAUUACCUUUUCGAGUUGCGUCCGUCUGCACUCGAGUACGUGCUUAUGUAGAGGGUCAAGUAGCGGGGAUAUAUACGCGGGCGUGCGAGGGAUUACGUUGGCGUAUGAGAGCGUAGGUGUGUGUAUAAAUCCCUCUUUACGGAAUAACAACUUCAGAUAUAAAAGGUUUUUUUUCUUUUUUUUUUUUUUCUUUUGCUUUCCUCUCAACAGAUCAUGGCGUAAUAUUGGGUGAUGUGGUUAGCUGUACGAUUCAAUUAUGAGUAUGUGUACCGACAUUACUCAAUUAUCCAUUUGACUCUUCUCCGAGAGGGAUUUAUCAAGUCACUAAUUUAAUCCUCUCGUAGAGAAGUCUACAUUUUGCUGAAAAUCUGUUAACUCUUCAAAGAACUUUAGAAAAGGAUAUAUAACUUUAAUUUGAGCUAUCUAAUAAUUCUUACUUUACGUCUUAAACCACACAGGAAAAUAUAAUUACAUUUCCGUAAUCGCUUAUUUUUUAUUAUAUACAACCGUACGAAGUAGUAAUUUUAUUAUAUUAUUUAAUAUAAUAUUCGAGAUUGCAACGUCCGAAAGACUUAAGUCCUCGAAACACACACACACACACACAGACGAUGUAACGCUUCGUCAAUAUUUACUUUACUUAUCACUUAGGAUAAUAACUUUACUGUUAUACUUUUUCCUAACUAUUGUUAUUCGAUCAACCUAUCAGCAUUGUCUAUAGCAUAAGUUGUUGUAAAUAAUACAGAAAUAUACCUUUCCCACCAUAAAAUGACAAACGUCAUCUUCCCAAAUAAAGUCUUUUAAAUUC